Molecule: ribosomal RNA, 466 nt
Filed under: uncultured bacterium
Lineage: Bacteria
Description: partial 16S ribosomal RNA
Rfam family: Bacterial small subunit ribosomal RNA
Source: RNAcentral
UCCAGACUCCUACGGGAGGCAGCAGUGAGGAAUAUUGGUCAAUGGGCUUACGCCUGAACCAGCCAAGUCGCGUGAGGGAGGACGGCCCUACGGGUUGUAAACCUCUUUUGCCGGGGGACAAACGGCGGCACGCGUGCCGUCCUGAGGGUACCCGGAGAAAAAGCAUCGGCUAACUCCGUGCCAGCAGCCGCGGUAAUACGGAGGAUGCGAGCGUUAUCCGGAUUUAUUGGGUUUAAAGGGUGCGCAGGCGGCACGGCAAGCCGGCGGUCAAAUCGCGGGGCUCAACCCCGCCCAGCCGUCGGAACUGCCGGGCUAGAGUGGGCGAGAAGUGCGCGGAAUGCGUGGUGUAGCGGUGAAAUGCAUAGAUAUCACGCAGAACUCCGAUUGCGAAGGCAGCGCACCGGCGCCCUACUGACGCUCAGGCACGAAAGCGUGGGUAUCGAACAGGAUUAGAUACCCGUGUAUC